ACCUCAGAUCAGGCGAGACAAC
RNAcentral lists this ribosomal RNA (22 nucleotides) under Haemaphysalis humerosa. RNAcentral describes it as "partial 28S ribosomal RNA". Lineage: Eukaryota; Metazoa; Arthropoda; Arachnida; Ixodida; Ixodidae. The record is from RNAcentral.